Long non-coding RNA from Humulus lupulus (European hop), 1085 nucleotides. RefSeq lists it as uncharacterized. The transcript is spliced from 5 exons. NCBI's taxonomy places the organism in Eukaryota, Viridiplantae, Streptophyta, Magnoliopsida, Rosales, Cannabaceae. The record is from RefSeq and is a predicted model, not a curated record.
GAAAAAACAUAAUAUAGGACUCGCAAUGAGUGUCCUAAAAAAAUAUGCGAGUCCUAAAAAACUAUGGGCUAAAAAAUGAGUGUUUUACUUAACAAUUUUAAGGACUUGCUUUGGGAGUCCUUAAUACUCUUUAAGGACUCGCUUUGCGAGUCCUAAAAACACAUUGGCGAGUCCUAAAAACACAUUGGCUGAAAAAUUAGUAAUUGUGACUUUUAAAGACUCGCUUUGCGAGUCCUAAAAAAGUAUUAAAGACUCUCAAAGCAAGUCCUUAAAAUAUUUUGUAAAGAAGCAUAAAAACACUCUUUCUUUCGAAAAUAUAGGAUAAAAGGGAUUUAUUUUAGUCUCACCCAAGAUAUUUUUAAUUUAAAUAAAAAAAAUUAUGUUAACUAAAAUAGAAUUUAUAUAUUAGAAAUCUAAUCCCUAAUAUACCACUAAUGGAUUGUAGCCGCAGACCCUCACCCUCACUCUCGAUCUCUCCGUCGACGCACCCCUCACCCUCGAUCUCUCUGUCGCCGCACCCUCACCCUCCCUCUCGAUCUCUCCGUCGCCGCCUCUACCUCAGCCAGCCGAUUGUAGCCGCACCGCCACCGUCGCCGACCGAAUAGCACAGGCAGAAGGGACGAUUCGCACGGAGCGAAGAGCACAGGCCGAAGUAAGGAGACUUUACCAGGUGGAGUUUCAGUCAAUAAAAAGAGAGUUGAAAAAGGGCUUUCACAACUAAAGCUUAAAACAAUGGCCAUGAGUACUUAUCCCCAAAAAAAUCAGAGCUCUAUCUCGCCGUUCUCCUGACUCCGCUACUCUCUCCAUUUCGCUGUCAUCUCUUGGUUUUCCGAGGUACUCUUGCUCGUCUUUGGUGUGCGUGGCGUCGUCUCCGGUGGUGGCUGUUCUAUCUUCUUGUUAAAGGUUAAUAUUUUGAUUGGUCUUAAAGCAUUGGAUUGGUAGCUAAUUGCAAGAGUUCACCUUCGACAAGCCAUAUACUACUCAAGAAAUUGAUGAAGUUAGAGAAGAAUGGGCAAUGUUAUUUUUACAUUUGGUUAGAGCAAAAUGAAUGAUGUUAUAGCUAGUUAAUUACAAUACAUGUUUAG